AGUGAAAAACAGAACUCAGACUUUUGUGAACACUGAAAGCCACCAUGAAUCGUUUGGCACUUGCUCUCAUUCUCCUUGUUGCAGUAGCAGGAGUUAUUGGCGAAAGAGAUUUUACGAAAGAAGAACUCCAAAGAUGUGGAACACCGCAUAAGGGAAUUUGUUUCAGGAACUCCUGCCCUCCACGUUGGAAUGAAAUUAAUGGAAUAUGCCAUGCUCAUUUCAGGUGCUGCAGUCGUAGGCUAUUUGAUUCCACAGAGUGAGACUAUGACGACAGAAAAAAUGUGUCUGAAACUGUUUGGUGAUACAAUAUAUAUUCACAAUAGUUAAUGUGCUUAAUUUUUCCCUCUUACUUUAUAAAAGCUACUACAUUUAAGAGAAAGAUUCACACUGUAAACCCAAAUUCAGUUGCAUUAAUGUGAGUUAAUGUGAGUUAAUUAUUUAGAAUAAAUAAUUGAAAUCCAAAUAUGGCUAUUUAAUUUCAACUCAAGUCAUUCAAUGUAAAUCAGAUGCAUUCUGCUAUCCAAAUACAGUAUUGCUUUUUAACUCUUGUUUAUAACCCUUUUGCUAAUAAAAAUGCUCAUUUAACAUCCCA
Long non-coding RNA from Protopterus annectens (West African lungfish), 592 nucleotides. RefSeq lists it as uncharacterized. The record is from RefSeq and is a predicted model, not a curated record. The transcript is spliced from 3 exons. Lineage: Eukaryota; Metazoa; Chordata; Ceratodontiformes; Protopteridae.